This 28-nucleotide small RNA is filed under the name Bombyx mori (domestic silkworm). RNAcentral describes it as "piRNA piR-bmo-1895022". The record is from RNAcentral. Lineage: Eukaryota; Metazoa; Arthropoda; Insecta; Lepidoptera; Bombycidae.
GGAUGCGAUGACGAUCGGCUGGUGUCCC